This 71-nucleotide transfer RNA is filed under the name bacterium. RNAcentral describes it as "tRNA-Ala". It matches the Rfam family "tRNA". From Rfam's summary of the family: Transfer RNA (tRNA) molecules are approximately 80 nucleotides in length. Their secondary structure includes four short double-helical elements and three loops (D, anti-codon, and T loops). Further hydrogen bonds mediate the characteristic L-shaped molecular structure. tRNAs have two regions of fundamental functional importance: the anti-codon, which is responsible for specific mRNA codon recognition, and the 3' end, to which the tRNAs corresponding amino acid is attached (by aminoacyl-tRNA synthetases). tRNAs cope with the degeneracy of the genetic code in two manners: having more than one tRNA (with a specific anti-codon) for a particular amino acid; and 'wobble' base-pairing, i.e. permitting non-standard base-pairing at the 3rd anti-codon position. The record is from RNAcentral.
GGGCCUUUAGUAUAGUGGUAGUACGCUGCAUUCGCAUUGCAGAGACAGGGAUUCGAUUUCCCUAAGGUCCA